Molecule: ribosomal RNA, 228 nt
Filed under: uncultured bacterium
Lineage: Bacteria
Description: partial 16S ribosomal RNA
Rfam family: Bacterial small subunit ribosomal RNA
Source: RNAcentral
CGGGUGCGUAACGCGUGGGAAUCUACCUUAUAGUGGGGGAUAGCCCGGAGAAAUCCGGAUUAAUACCGCAUAAUCUCUACGGAGCAAAGUGGGGGAUCUUCGGACCUCACGCUAUUAGAUGAGCCCGCGUUAGAUUAGCUUGUUGGUGAGGUAAUGGCUCACCAAGGCUACGAUCUAUAGCUGGUUUGAGAGGAUGAUCAGCCACACUGGGACUGAGACACGGCCCAG